UAGUAGUGUCCAUGUCGGUCAUCUCAAAG
RNAcentral lists this non-coding RNA (29 nucleotides) under Homo sapiens (human). Lineage: Eukaryota; Metazoa; Chordata; Mammalia; Primates; Hominidae. The record is from RNAcentral.